This 497-nucleotide ribosomal RNA is filed under the name uncultured bacterium. RNAcentral describes it as "partial 16S ribosomal RNA". It matches the Rfam family "Bacterial small subunit ribosomal RNA", at positions 28 to 507 of the family's 1533-position model. The record is from RNAcentral.
GAUGAACGCUGGCGGCGUGCCUAAUACAUGCAAGUCGAGCGAAUAGAUAAGGAGCUUGCUCCUUUGACGUUAGCGGCGGACGGGUGAGUAACACGUGGGUAACCUACCUAUAAGACUGGGAUAACUUCGGGAAACCGGAGCUAAUACCGGAUAAUAUUUCGAACCGCAUGGUUCGAUAGUGAAAGAUGGUUUUGCUAUCACUUAUAAAUGGACCCGCGCCGUAUUAGCUAGUUGGUAAGGUAACGGCUUACCAAGGCGACGAUACGUAGCCGACCUGAGAGGGUGAUCGGCCACACUGGAACUGAGACACGGUCCAGACUCCUACGGGAGGCAGCAGUAGGGAAUCUUCCGCAAUGGGCGAAAGCCUGACGGAGCAACGCCGCGUGAGUGAUGAAGGUCUUCGGAUCGUAAAACUCUGUUAUUAGGGAAGAACAUACGUGUAAGUAACUGUGCACGUCUUGACGGUACCUAAUCAGAAAGCCACGGCUAACUACGUG